Molecule: ribosomal RNA, 498 nt
Filed under: uncultured Anaerolineaceae bacterium
Lineage: Bacteria; Bacillati; Chloroflexota; Anaerolineae; Anaerolineales; Anaerolineaceae
Description: bacterial SSU rRNA
Rfam family: Bacterial small subunit ribosomal RNA
Source: RNAcentral
AGAGUUUGAUCCUGGCUCAGGAUGAACGCUGGCGGCGUGCCUAACACAUGCAAGUCGAACGGAGAAUGUAGCAAUACGUUCUUAGUGGCGAACGGGUGAGUAACGCGUUGGUGACCUGCCCCGAAGCGGGGGAUAACAGUCCGAAAGGAUUGCUAAUACCCCAUGUGGUCAUUGGGAUUAGAUGCCCGAUGAUUAAAGGUGUAAACCACUUCGGGAGGGGCCUGCGUCCCAUCAGCUAGUUGGUAGGGUAAUGGCCUACCAAGGCUUCGACGGGUAGGGGACCUGAGAGGGUGACCCCCCACAAUGGAACUGAAACACGGUCCAUACACCUACGGGUGGCAGCAGUGAGGAAUAUUGGUUAAUGGGCGAAAGCCCGAACCAGCAACGCCGCGUGUGCGAUGAAGGCCUUCGGGUUGUAAAGCACUUUUGGAGGGGAAGAGAAGGGACGGUACCCUCCGAAUAAGCCUCGGCUAACUACGUGCCAGCAGCCGCGGUAAG